This 284-nucleotide ribosomal RNA is filed under the name uncultured prokaryote. RNAcentral describes it as "partial 16S ribosomal RNA". It matches the Rfam family "Bacterial small subunit ribosomal RNA", at positions 524 to 819 of the family's 1533-position model. The record is from RNAcentral.
UACGUAGGGGCUAGCGUUAUCCGGAUUUACUGGGCGUAAAGGGUGCGUAGGUGGUUUCUUAAGUCAGGAGUGAAAGGCUACGGCUUAACCGUAGUAAGCUCUUGAAACUGGGAAACUUGAGUGCAGGAGAGGAAAGUGGAAUUCCUAGUGUAGCGGUGAAAUGCGUAGAUAUUAGGAGGAACACCAGUAGCGAAGGCGGCUUUCCGGACUGUAACUGACACUGAGGCACGAAAGCGUGGGGAGCAAACAGGAUUAGAUACCCUGGUAGUCCCUGAGCGGGCUGG